UCCCAAAAGUCCUACAUAUGAAAAUCUA
RNAcentral lists this small RNA (28 nucleotides) under Bombyx mori (domestic silkworm). RNAcentral describes it as "ovarian small RNA-27129". Lineage: Eukaryota; Metazoa; Arthropoda; Insecta; Lepidoptera; Bombycidae. The record is from RNAcentral.